RNAcentral lists this ribosomal RNA (1395 nucleotides) under Burkholderia mallei FMH. RNAcentral describes it as "16S ribosomal RNA". RNAcentral also lists the same sequence under 1 other name. Lineage: Bacteria; Pseudomonadati; Pseudomonadota; Betaproteobacteria; Burkholderiales; Burkholderiaceae. The record is from RNAcentral.
CGCUGCGCAUGUCGUUCCACAGGAUCGCGGGGCGCAGCACGCGAUCGCCGCUAUCGAGCAGCACCGCGCCGUGCAUCUGGCCGGACAGCCCGAUGCCGCGCACCGCGGCGAACGCCUGCGGAUGGCGCGCGCGCAGCGCGGCGAGCGUGCCGGCCCACCAGUCGUCCGGAUGCUGCUCGGCCCAGCGCGGAUGCGCGCGCGCGACGGUAAACGGCGUGCCCGCCGUGCCGACGACGGCGCCGUCGGGCGAAAGCAGCAGCACCUUCACUUCGGAGGUGCCGAGAUCGAUGCCGAGGUACAUGAGCGAAAAGCGGUGCGUCGACGGGAAGCCGCUACUUUAGCCGCGCGCCCGCCGCCGCGCCAAUGGCGAUUUGGCCCGAGCAACGCGCGGCGGCGUGACGGCCGAGCGGCUCAGCGGCUCGCGAGCCAUGCGUCGACGCGCGCGGCGCCCGCGCGUAGCGCGCGCUCGAGCGCGGGCGUGCCGGCGAGCGCGCCCCAGAGCGGGCGUUCGCCGGCGAGCGCGGCGACGGGGUCGGCCGCGCCCGCGAUCGCGCGCGCGACGCGCGCGUCCAUCACGCCGUCCUGAUACGCGUACGGCAGCGCGCCUUGCGCCCAGCGCUGCAGGAAGCGCAGGAAGAGCGCGGGCAGCACCGCGGUCGACACCGGCUCGACGCCGCGCGCGAUCGAUUCGGCGAGCGUCGGCGCGAUGAAGCCGGGAAUCUUCGAGAAGCCGUCGGCGGCCACGCGCUGGUUCGUGUCGCGGAUGUGCGGAUUGCCGAAGCGCUCGAGCACGACGUCGCGGUAGCGCGCGAGGUCGAGCGGGCUCGGCGUGAGGUACGGGAUCACGUCGUCGGUCACGUACGCGUGCGCGAAGCGGCGAAUGUGCGCGUCGCGCGUGCCUUCGUGAAUGUAUGAAUGGCCCGCGAGCGUGCCCGCCCAGGCGAUGCAGCUGUGCGUCGCGUUCAGGAUCCGGAUCUUCGCUUCCUCGUACGGAUGGACGUCGUCGACGAGCUCCGCGCCCGCCUUCUCCCACGCGGGCCGGCCGGCCGCGAAGCGAUCCUCGAUCACCCACUGGAUGAACGCCUCGCCCAUCACCGGGCACGCGUCGUCGAAGCCGGUGGCCGCGCGCACGCGCUCGCGCACGUCGGGCGUGGGGCGCGGUGUGAUGCGGUCGACCAUCGAGCUCGGGCACGCGACGUUCGCAUCGAACCACGCGAGCAGCUCGACGAGGCCGCGCCGCGCGAGGAAUGCGCGCAUGCCGGCGCGAAAGCGCGCGCCGUUGUUGCGCAGGUUGUCGCAGCUCUGCAGCGUGAGCGGGCCGGCGCCGCGCGCGGCCCGUUCGGCGAGAAGCGCGGCGAGCGCGCCGUAGAUCGUGAGGCGCGCGCCUUGCAAGUC